AGUGAACGCUGGCGGUAGGCCUAACACAUGCAAGUCGAACGGCAGCACAGUAAGAGCUUGCUCUUACGGGUGGCGAGUGGCGGACGGGUGAGGAAUACAUCGGAAUCUACUUUUUCGUGGGGGAUAACGUAGGGAAACUUACGCUAAUACCGCAUACGACCUACGGGUGAAAGCAGGGGAUCUUCGGACCUUGCGCGAUUGAAUGAGCCGAUGUCGGAUUAGCUAGUUGGCGGGGUAAAGGCCCACCAAGGCGACGCUCCGUAGCUGGUCUGAGAGGAUGAUCAGCCACACUGGAACUGAGACACGUUCCAGACUCCUACGGGAGGCAGCAGUGGGGAAUAUUGGACAAUGGGCGCAAGCCUGAUCCAGCCAUACCGCGUGGGUGAAGAAGGCCUUCGGGUUGUAAAGCCCUUUUGUUGGGAAAGAAAAGCAGCAGGUUAAUACCCCGCUGUUCUGACGGUACCCAAAGAAUAAGCACCGGCUAACUUCGUG
RNAcentral lists this ribosomal RNA (492 nucleotides) under uncultured bacterium. RNAcentral describes it as "partial 16S ribosomal RNA". It matches the Rfam family "Bacterial small subunit ribosomal RNA", at positions 29 to 507 of the family's 1533-position model. The record is from RNAcentral.